Molecule: ribosomal RNA, 432 nt
Filed under: uncultured bacterium
Lineage: Bacteria
Description: partial 16S ribosomal RNA
Rfam family: Bacterial small subunit ribosomal RNA
Source: RNAcentral
CCUACGGGUGGCAGCAGUGAGGAAUAUUGGUCAAUGGGCGCAAGCCUGAACCAGCCAUGCCGCGUGCAGGAUGAAGAUCUAUGGUGUGUAAACUGCUUUUAUACGGGAAGCGGUACCGUAAGAAUAAGGACCGGCUAACUCCGUGCCAGCAGCCGCGGUAAUACGGAGGGUCCAAGCGUUAUCCGGAAUCAUUGGGUUUAAAGGGUCCGUAGGCGGCCCUGUAAGUCAGUGGUGAAAUCUCCCGGCUCAACCGGGAAAUUGCCAUUGAUACUGCAGGGCUUGAAUUAUUGGGAAGUAACUAGAAUAUGUAGUGUAGCGGUGAAAUGCUUAGAUAUUACAUGGAAUACCGAUUGCGAAGGCAGGUUACUACCAAUAAUUGACGCUGAUGGACGAAAGCGUGGGUAGCGAACAGGAUUAGAUACCCUGGUAGUC